UAAGAAGGAAAACUCAUCCAUCCAUUUUGCCAGCUGGACUGACUCAUCACUUUUCCUGGAGAAGUGUUUAUGGGACAAGGGCAAAUGUGAUAGGAGAGCAUAGGUUUCUCAUAUUGCUCAGAUUUCUACCUGCUCUGCUGAAGAAGGGAGCUGUGGACCAUAAUUUUGUUCAAGACUGUAUAUAAUCACACCACCAGGUGGGCAGCUUGGCAAACCUCUUCAGCAUGGGAUACUUCCAUCAUCACCCAAGUAAAAGAAAGGAAGAGUAGGACAGAGAGGUAAUUGGCCUGUCCUGGGAUCAAAAGCAGGGACACACAAUGUUAAAAUCUCUCUGCUUUUUAAGCAUGGUUCUGAUGAAUGUGAGCACUCCUGCCCUCCAAUGUAUGUCAGCUGUGACACUAAAUAGAGAAAGCAUCUCAGCAUAUCAGGUCCUGAUGUGUAAAUUCUCAUUUGCUGUGAAAGAAUGGCAGGAGAUGAAGUGUGACUCUUGACUGCACACUGUGAUUUGAGCUUCCCUGCAAACUAUGCAUGCUCGCUGAUGUACUGCACUACACUGCACAACUUCAGAUACCAUUCUGAGACACACUACAACAUUGCUACAAGGAAAUUAAUUUAUAGGAGUUAUAUUUUCAGCCAGUUAAAAACUACAGAGAAGCAAAAUCAGGGCAAUUCUA
Molecule: long non-coding RNA, 674 nt
Organism: Zonotrichia leucophrys gambelii
Lineage: Eukaryota; Metazoa; Chordata; Aves; Passeriformes; Passerellidae
Exons: 3
Source: RefSeq, a predicted model, not a curated record